AACGAACGCUGGCGGCAUGCCUAACACAUGCAAGUCGAACGAGCCCUUCGGGUCUAGUGGCGCACGGGUGCGUAACGCGUGGGAACCUGCCCUUAGGUUCGGAAUAACUCCCCGAAAGGGGUGCUAAUACCGGAUAAUGUCUUCGGACCAAAGAUUUAUCGCCUUUGGAUGGGCCCGCGUUGGAUUAGCUAGUUGGUAGGGUAAAAGCCUACCAAGGCGACGAUCCAUAGCUGGUCUGAGAGGAUGAUCAGCCACACUGGGACUGAGACACGGCCCAGACUCCUACGGGAGGCAGCAGUGGGGAAUAUUGGACAAUGGGCGAAAGCCUGAUCCAGCAAUGCCGCGUGAGUGAUGAAGGCCUUAGGGUUGUAAAGCUCUUUUACCCGGGAUGAUAAUGACAGUACCGGGAGAAUAAGCUCCGGCUAACCCCGUG
This 433-nucleotide ribosomal RNA is filed under the name uncultured bacterium. RNAcentral's name for it is "partial 16S ribosomal RNA". It matches the Rfam family "Bacterial small subunit ribosomal RNA", at positions 29 to 507 of the family's 1533-position model. The record is from RNAcentral.